RNAcentral lists this ribosomal RNA (1070 nucleotides) under uncultured archaeon. RNAcentral describes it as "bacterial SSU rRNA". It matches the Rfam family "Archaeal small subunit ribosomal RNA", at positions 474 to 1337 of the family's 1478-position model. The record is from RNAcentral.
UACCAGCUCCUCGAGUGGUCGGGACGAUUAUUGGGCCUAAAGCACCCGUAGCCGGUUCGGUGAGUCCUCUGUCAAAUCCAACCGCUCAACGGUUGGCUCGCAGAGGAUACUGCCGGACUAGGAGGCGGGAGAGGCGGACGGUACUCCGCGUGUAGGGGUAAAAUCCUUUGAUCCGCGGAAGACCACCAGUGGCGAAGGCGGUCCGCCAGAACGCGCUCGACGGUGAGGGGUGAAAGCUGGGGGAGCGAACCGGAUUAGAUACCCGGGUAGUCCCAGCCGUAAACGAUGCGAGCUAGAUGAUUCAAUCGCAGUACGCGAUCGAAGUGUCGCAGGGAAGCCGUUAAGCUCGCCGCCUGGGGAGUACGGUCGCAAGGCUGAAACAACGGAGCCGGGAUACGAUUCGAACGUCCAGCCGACGUCGGACGAUUUCGGCGUGCUAUCAGAAGGCAAGGCCUUUCGUAAUUCGCAAGACGUCAGUCGAAUGACACAGCUAUACGCGCAAACGAAGGGAACAAACAAGCAAGAUCAAUCAACGAGCUGACAGCAACCAGAAAACGGAUACAAGAUCCGACUCCGCUGCAGCACACUUAAAGGAAUUGGCGGGGGAGCACCACAAGGGGUGAAGCCUGCGGUUCAAUUGGAGUCAACGCCAGGAAACUUACCAGGAGCGACAGCAGGUUGAGGGUCAGGCUGAAGACUUUACCUGACGAGCUGAGAGGAGGUGCAUGGCCGUCGCCAGCUCGUGCCGUGAGGCGUCCUGUUAAGUCAGGCAACGAGCGAGACCCUUGCCGAUAAUUGCUAGCCGGGGUAGUAGUAUCCCGGAGGCUAGUUAUCGGGACUGCCGCUGCUAAAGCGGAGGAAGGAGAGGGCCACGGCAGGUCAGUAUGCCCCGAAACUCCUGGGCCACACGCGGGCUGCAAUGGUAGGGACAGUGGGUCCCGACCUCGACAGAGGAAGGCAAUCCUCAAACCCUACCCCAGUUGUGAUUGAGGGCUGAAACCCGCCCUCAUGAAUAUGGAAUCCCUAGUAACCGCGUGUCAUCACCGCGCGGUGAAUACGUCCCUACUCCU